CCUACGGGAGGCAGCAGUGGGGAAUCUUGCGCAAUGGGCGAAAGCCUGACGCAGCAACGCCGCGUGCGGGAUGAAGGCCUUCGGGUUGUAAACCGCUUUCAGCAGGGAAGAAAUUGACGGUACCUGCAGAAGAAGCCCCGGCCAGCUACGUGCCAGCAGCCGCGGUAACACGUAGGGGGCGAGCGUUGUCCGGAUUUAUUGGGCGUAAAGAGCUCGUAGGCGGUUCGGUAAGUCGGGUGUGAAACCUCCAGGCUCAACCUGGAGACGCCACCUGAAACUGCUGUGACUAGAGUCCGGUAGGGGAGUGUGGAACUCCUGGUGUAGCGGUGAAAUGCGCAGAUAUCAGGAAGAACACCAGCGGCGAAGGCGGCACUCUGGGCCGGUACUGACGCUGAGGAGCGAAAGCGUGGGUAGCAAACAGGAUUAGAUACCCUGGUAGUCCACGCCGUAAACGUUGGGCACUAGGUGUGGGUCUCAACCAACGAGAUCCGUGCCGCAGCUACGCAUAGUAGCCCGCCGUCGGGAGGUACGGCCGCGACGGACGUAAACGUACGAAAGGAAAGUUAGUAACGGUCGUGAGACGUGCCGAACGGACGACGACGAGGGAGGUUAGG
This 614-nucleotide ribosomal RNA is filed under the name uncultured bacterium. Its description in RNAcentral is "bacterial SSU rRNA". The stretch from base 1 to 518 matches the Rfam family "Bacterial small subunit ribosomal RNA", at positions 338 to 873 of the family's 1533-position model. The record is from RNAcentral.